Molecule: ribosomal RNA, 492 nt
Filed under: uncultured bacterium
Lineage: Bacteria
Description: partial 16S ribosomal RNA
Rfam family: Bacterial small subunit ribosomal RNA
Source: RNAcentral
AGUGAACGCUGGCGGUAGGCCUAACACAUGCAAGUCGAACGGCAGCACAGUAAGAGCUUGCUCUUACGGGUGGCGAGUGGCGGACGGGUGAGGAAUACAUCGGAAUCUACUUUUUCGUGGGGGAUAACGUAGGGAAACUUACGCUAAUACCGCAUACGACCUACGGGUGAAAGCAGGGGAUCUUCGGACCUUGCGCGAUUGAAUGAGCCGAUGUCGGAUUAGCUAGUUGGCGGGGUAAAGGCCCACCAAGGCGACGAUCCGUAGCUGGUCUGAGAGGAUGAUCAGCCACACUGGAACUGAGACACGGUCCAGACUCCUACGGGAGGCAGCAGUGGGGAAUAUUGGACAAUGGGCGCAAGCCUGAUCCAGCCAUACCGCGUGGGUGAAGAAGGCCUUCGGGUUGUAAAGCCCUUUUGUUGGGAAAGAAAAGCAGCAGGUUAAUACCCCACUGUUCUGACGGUACCCAGAGAAUAAGCACCGGCUAACUUCGUG